Molecule: ribosomal RNA, 254 nt
Filed under: uncultured bacterium
Lineage: Bacteria
Description: partial 16S ribosomal RNA
Rfam family: Bacterial small subunit ribosomal RNA
Source: RNAcentral
GACAGAGGUGCCGAGCGUUAGGCGGAAUCACUGGGCUUAAAGCGUGUGUAGGCGGACUUCUAAGUACCUUGUGAAAUCCCCCGGCUCAACCGGGGAACUGCUUGGUAUACUGGUUGUCUUGAGCCACUUAGGGCAGUCGGAACAGACGGUGGAGCGGUGAAAUGCGUAGAUAUCGUCUGGAACGCCAAAGGUGAAAACAGAACUGCUGGGAGUGUGCUGACGCUGAGACACGAAAGCCAGGGGAGCAAAGCGGG